RNAcentral lists this transfer RNA (73 nucleotides) under Alligator mississippiensis (American alligator). It matches the Rfam family "tRNA". From Rfam's summary of the family: Transfer RNA (tRNA) molecules are approximately 80 nucleotides in length. Lineage: Eukaryota; Metazoa; Chordata; Crocodylia; Alligatoridae. The record is from Rfam by way of RNAcentral.
GGGCCAGUGGCCCAAUGGCUAAUGCGUCUGACCAUGAAUUAGAAAGUUGUAGGUUUGAUUUCUGUCUGGCUUG